RNAcentral lists this ribosomal RNA (274 nucleotides) under uncultured bacterium. RNAcentral describes it as "partial 16S ribosomal RNA". It matches the Rfam family "Bacterial small subunit ribosomal RNA", at positions 523 to 796 of the family's 1533-position model. The record is from RNAcentral.
AUACGGAGGGUGCAAGCGUUAUUCGGAAUUACUGGGCGUAAAGCGCGUGUAGGCGGAUCGUUAAGUCAGGGGUGAAAGCCCGGAGCUCAACUCCGGAAUUGCCCUUGAUACUGGCGAUCUAGAGGCCGGGAGAGGUGAGCGGAAUUCCCAGUGUAGAGGUGAAAUUCGUAGAUAUUGGGAGGAACACCAGUGGCGAAGGCGGCUCACUGGCCCGGUUCUGACGCUGAGACGCGAAAGCGUGGGGAGCAAACAGGAUUAGAAACCCUAGUAGUCC